AUUGAACGCUGGCGGCAUGCUUUACACAUGCAAGUCGAACGGUAACAGGCCGCAAGGUGCUGACGAGUGGCGAACGGGUGAGUAAUGCAUCGGAACGUGCCCAGUCGUGGGGGAUAACUACUCGAGAGAGUAGCUAAUACCGCAUACGAUCUAUGGAUGAAAGCGGGGGACCGUAAGGCCUCGCGCGAUUGGAGCGGCCGAUGUCAGAUUAGGUAGUUGGUGGGGUAAAGGCUCACCAAGCCAACGAUCUGUAGCUGGUCUGAGAGGACGACCAGCCACACUGGGACUGAGACACGGCCCAGACUCCUACGGGAGGCAGCAGUGGGGAAUUUUGGACAAUGGGCGCAAGCCUGAUCCAGCAAUGCCGCGUGCAGGAAGAAGGCCUUCGGGUUGUAAACUGCUUUUGUACGGAACGAAACGGCUCUGGUUAAUACCCGGGGCUAAUGACGGUACCGUAAGAAUAAGCACCGGCUAACUACGUG
RNAcentral lists this ribosomal RNA (482 nucleotides) under uncultured bacterium. Its description in RNAcentral is "partial 16S ribosomal RNA". It matches the Rfam family "Bacterial small subunit ribosomal RNA", at positions 30 to 507 of the family's 1533-position model. The record is from RNAcentral.